UACGUAGGGUGCGAGCGUUAAUCGGAAUUACUGGGCGUAAAGCGUGCGCAGGCGGUUCGUUGUGUCGGUGGUGAAAGCCCCGGGCUUAACCUGGGAAUGGCCGUUGAAACUGGCGAACUGGAGUGUGGCAGAGGGGGGUGGAAUUCCGCGUGUAGCAGUGAAAUGCGUAGAGAUGCGGAGGAACACCGAUGGCGAAGGCAGCCCCCUGGGCUGACACUGACGCUCAGGCACGAAAGCGUGGGGAGCAAACAGG
RNAcentral lists this ribosomal RNA (253 nucleotides) under uncultured bacterium. Its description in RNAcentral is "partial 16S ribosomal RNA". It matches the Rfam family "Bacterial small subunit ribosomal RNA", at positions 524 to 776 of the family's 1533-position model. The record is from RNAcentral.